This is a long non-coding RNA of Setaria italica (foxtail millet), 1828 nucleotides long. RefSeq lists it as uncharacterized. The record is from RefSeq and is a predicted model, not a curated record. NCBI's taxonomy places the organism in Eukaryota, Viridiplantae, Streptophyta, Magnoliopsida, Poales, Poaceae. The transcript has 5 exons.
GCGAAACAUCCAGUAACGGAACCUCUUGACCUCGUGAGGAAAAGAAGGAAAAAAAAACUACGCCUGACCAGACAUCGCCUAUGCGCGCCAUCCCUGCUCGGCCGUCGUCCACGCCUGCUUCCCUUCCCUCGCCGCGCUGCUCGAGUUUCGGAGCUGGUUUCCUCCCCUUCCCCUGCUUGCCUCGUUCGAUUUGUAGCGCUUCUCCAUUCCAUGGUAGCUAGGAUUUUGGGUUUCAGCGCUGGUUUUCCUUCACCUCCCCUCCUUGCCUGGUUCCAUUUGUGGCGCUCCUCCGCUCCAUGGUGGUUCGGAUUUUGGUAUUGGAGAUUGUUUCUACCGGUUGCUGAUCUGGGGAUUUCCUUUCCUUCGUCGAUUUCAUCUCUCCUAAUGUGGUUGCCCCCUUACCAAGUUGAAUGAAUUUGGGAAUACUUUUCUCGUGAAUCAAUUUGUUUCUCUUCCCCCAUCCCUGGUCUGGUGGGCAAGAUUUGUGUUUUCCUUUUCCUUCUUUUCUCUCUUCCUCUGGUGUUGCCCAGUAUUUCUUAUGCAGUGACAUGUUCGUGGGAGGAGUCCUGCUCGUCCUGAUUGAGAUUGAACAGCUGGUUUUAUUUGGCUAUGAUCUUUUGCUUUGUGCUCAAGGUCCAGACUCCCUGUGAAGAUUUGAUCGCAAUAUCUUGGCGCACAGCUUGGAUUAAUGAUGGCAAUUUCUGAAGAAGAAAAAUCCUGUGGAAAAACAUGUUGACAUGGUAGUAGUCACAUGUAUGGUUUGUUUUUUCAUACUUCUACCCUACUUUUCCUUAAGGAGUAUCUUAACCCUACUUUUUGAGUAGCAGAAAAAAACGCGGAUUCAUGUGCAUCUGCAUCGGGUUCUUAAUGUUUCUUGUUUCUUGGUCAAUUGAUUUUUUUUGUUAGCUAGAUGCAGUCCACUAUCUGCUGAAUCCGUCGUUGUGUCUGGUGCGCCGCUUUAAUCUCUGCAACUUUCCUGCUGGGUGACUGAAGAAUUGUGCAUUUAAAGUGAAUUGUAUGGCUACUACGUCUCCAGUCCAUCAGAUAACCUUGACGCCCUUGUAUAUUCAUGGCCUCCUCCUCAAUCAUUUCUUCUUCAUCCAUUAACACAUUCCCUAUUUACAUGUAAAUGACUGUUUAAAAUUCUAGAAUGGCUAAUUCCCCUUUUAAUAUUCUGACAAUUACAUGUCAAAUAAUUUUAAACCACUGAAAUCUUUAUAACAUUUUUUAUUGUUUGAAAUUGAUGUGCAGGCCACAUGCCUGAUUGAAGCUAUAUAAAACUUCAGCUGAUAAAAAUUGGGGAUGCCUUGACUAAGGUCCAUAUUUCGCACUGAAAAAGGAUACCUUUCUCCUCUACAAAUUCAAGUUAUUCACACUCAACUAUAUCUGGGAUGUUUUCUAUUGUCAAUUUGGUUGGAUAGAAUUGCAAAUGAGUUAAGCAUCUAAAAGUUAGUAUGCUUUUGGUUCUAUGAACAGCAGCUAUCUGGUCAUGCAUGUCACUCACUCCUAAAAAAUUCAAAGCUUCCGUGCCUUCUGCACUUGGGUAAAAAUCUGUCCAUAUGUUAUCUCUUAUCUGUAAUCAAGCAAAUCCAAUAAAAUUUAAACCUUCACUGGGUUUUCUUUUGCUUGAAGGUUCAUACAUUUUGUUGCAGACAUAAUUUAAUUAAAAUAUAAAACAGAUUUAAGUAUAAUUUUCAUUCCUGCAUUUAUACUCUUACCUUUUUUCAUUUGCAAAGAUUAUGCUUUGUCAAUGCCUACAAUGCAUGGAGUUCAGGAAAAAGGGGAAAUAGAAAAGGUACAUUUGAGGACCUUAUCUGUACAAUGUUCA